Molecule: long non-coding RNA, 261 nt
Filed under: Elaeis guineensis (African oil palm)
Lineage: Eukaryota; Viridiplantae; Streptophyta; Magnoliopsida; Arecales; Arecaceae
Description: long non-coding RNA (EGUI_LNC040505)
Source: RNAcentral
UAUCUAGAUGAAAGAGAAGGCCGAACAAGCUUUUAGCAUGGGAAAAUAAUCAGGAAGUCUUCCUUUUGCCACAUAUUAGGCAUCCUUCACAAGGUGCUGGCAUGUGGGUGGAUAGGGAUAAGGUUUUAGAUGUAAAUUCAAACCUUUUGAAUUCAAUUCAAAACCAACCUAAUCCUAUCACUUAUGGGUGACAACAUGAGGGGUUUUGGCAUGAAAUAAUCAGCACACAAACCUUUUUGUGUGAUAAAAGAAAAUGUUGAG